Molecule: transfer RNA, 76 nt
Filed under: Geotrichum candidum
Lineage: Eukaryota; Fungi; Ascomycota; Dipodascomycetes; Dipodascales; Dipodascaceae
Description: transfer RNA-Val (CAC)
Source: RNAcentral
GGUUCAGUGGUGUAGCGGUUUAUCACACUUCGCUCACAUACCGAAGAGGUCCCGAGUUCGAACCUCGGCUGAAUCA